AUUGAACGCUGGCGGCAGGCCUAACACAUGCAAGUCGAGCGGAUGAAGGGAGCUUGCUCCUGGAUUCAGCGGCGGACGGGUGAGUAAUGCCUAGGAAUCUGCCUGGUAGUGGGGGAUAACGUCCGGAAACGGGCGCUAAUACCGCAUACGUCCUGAUGUAGAAAGUGGGGGAGCUUCGGACCGCACGCUAUCAGAUGAGCCUAGGUCGGAUUAGCUAGUUGGUGGGGUAAAGGCCUAACAAGGCGACGAUCCGUAACUGGUCUGAGGGGAUGAUCAGUCACACUGGCACUGAGACACGGUCCAGACUCCUACGGGAGGACGCAGUGCGGAAUCUUGCACAAUGGGCGAAAGCCUGAUACAGCACUGCCGCGGGUGUGCAGAAGGUCUUCGGACUGUAAAGCACUUUAAGUUGGGAGGAAGGGAAGCACGUUAAUACCUUGCUGUUUUGACGUUACCAACAGAAUAAGCACCGGCUAACUUCGUG
This 484-nucleotide ribosomal RNA is filed under the name uncultured bacterium. RNAcentral's name for it is "partial 16S ribosomal RNA". It matches the Rfam family "Bacterial small subunit ribosomal RNA", at positions 30 to 507 of the family's 1533-position model. The record is from RNAcentral.